CAGGGAAUCACAGAGAAAGCAGUAUACUUUUGAGAUUUAUUUGUGGAUCCAUCUUCUUCCAUGUAGGAGCACAGCGAUGAUACUUCAACCAAAGCACGGACACAGUGAGCAUCACUAUCAACUUCAUGUUCUCCCUGCUACGGAAAAGAAAAACGAUCAAAACUUCCUUUAUAUUCUAAUUAUGUUUGCGUUAAUGGUAGAGCAUUACUUCAAGUUCUACUCUUCAAAAGCUUUGCUUUUAACAGGAAUUCCUGUGUAA
Molecule: long non-coding RNA, 259 nt
Filed under: Ornithorhynchus anatinus (platypus)
Lineage: Eukaryota; Metazoa; Chordata; Mammalia; Monotremata; Ornithorhynchidae
Description: lncRNA (ENSOANG00000036999.1)
Source: RNAcentral